Molecule: ribosomal RNA, 385 nt
Filed under: uncultured bacterium
Lineage: Bacteria
Description: bacterial SSU rRNA
Rfam family: Bacterial small subunit ribosomal RNA
Source: RNAcentral
UGAGGAAUAUUGCGCAAUGGGGGCAACCCUGACGCAGCGACGCCGCGUGGAUGAUGAAGGCCCUUGGGUCGUAAAAUCCUGUCAGAUGGAAAGAAAUGUAUAGCAGUGAAUAUCUGUUAUAUUUGACGGUACCAUCAAAGGAAGCACCGGCUAACUCCGUGCCAGCAGCCGCGGUAAUACGGAGGGUGCAAGCGUUGUUCGGAAUUACUGGGCGUAAAGCGCGCGUAGGCGGUUUGCUAAGUCAGAUGUGAAAGCCCUCGGCUUAACCGGGGACGUGCAUUUGAAACUGGCAGACUUGAGUACUGGAGGGGGUGGUGGAAUUCCCGGUGUAGAGGUGAAAUUCGUAGAUAUCGGGAGGAAUACCGGUGGCGAAGGCGACCACCUG